AACGAACGCUGGCGGCACGCCUAACACAUGCAAGUCGAACGAGAAGCUACCUUCGGGUGGUGGACAGUGGCGGACGGGUGAGUAACACGUGGGAACAUGCCUUUUGGUACGGAACAACCAUUGGAAACGAUGGCUAAUACCGUAUACGCCCUUUGGGGGAAAGAUUUAUCGCCGAAAGAUUGGCCCGCGCUAGAUUAGCUAGUUGGUAAGGUAAUGGCUUACCAAGGCGACGAUCUAUAGCUGGUUUGAGAGGAUGAUCAGCCACACUGGGACUGAGACACGGCCCAGACUCCUACGGGAGGCAGCAGUGGGGAAUAUUGGACAAUGGGGGCAACCCUGAUCCAGCGAUGCCGCGUGAGUGAUGAAGGCCUUAGGGUUGUAAAACUCUUUCAGGGGUGAAGAUAAUGACGGUAACCCCAGAAGAAGCUCCGGCUAACUCCG
Molecule: ribosomal RNA, 441 nt
Filed under: uncultured Kordiimonadaceae bacterium
Lineage: Bacteria; Pseudomonadati; Pseudomonadota; Alphaproteobacteria; Kordiimonadales; Kordiimonadaceae
Description: bacterial SSU rRNA
Rfam family: Bacterial small subunit ribosomal RNA
Source: RNAcentral